UGUUAUGUAGCACUACACAUGCCAGAA
RNAcentral lists this non-coding RNA (27 nucleotides) under Bombyx mori (domestic silkworm). The record is from RNAcentral. Lineage: Eukaryota; Metazoa; Arthropoda; Insecta; Lepidoptera; Bombycidae.